AACUAAUGAGUAAGGAAAAUAUACAAGCCGUGGUGACGCGCGGUUUACAUAGUCAAUGAAAGGGUGAGGUGGUGCGCCCAUCUUGUCCUUUCGACUCCCUUAUUUUUGUGAGGGCCUAGGUCGUCCCGUGCGACAACUACCUACUUUUGUAGUCGUUGCUGGUGAUAGCGAUCUACCCUUAGUCAUCCAGUCAUCCUUACAACGCCUUUAAAGGACUACAAGAAGUCGAGUGUUGACAUUUUCACGGUCGCAGUGAUUUUUAUUCUUUGAAAUGACGGAACACAUCAUAUUCUCAGGGUUGUAAAAAUAGAAGUAAGUAUAGAUAGAAUUUAUUAUAUUACUUAAGUAACACAGGUAAGUAAUUUAUUUACAAUUGACAAUAUUAUAUAUACCCUGGUAAGUAUUUUGUAUUAUUGUGACUGUGAAGUAAAAGUGAUGUGUUUUGCUUUCGCCUGCGUCACCAUAUGAUGCUCAGUAACAUCGGCGCCCGACAGGAAACUGGGUGACGGUCACACAACGUGUAAUGGACUGCUACAUACUCAAUCACUCAUUCCAUCACUCACACAUUUAAAUAUUUAUAUCACUGGUAUACGCGGGUGUGCGUGCGUGUACUAGUCGUAAUAGUAAUGCAACAUUCAUUUAUCCACUUAAAAGUGAGUUAGCUGUUAGUUGUGAGUUGUGGCUGUGCAGUUAAGUGUAUGUGACUUUAUGGUUGUGGUCGUGAUAAGUGUUUCAUCAAUUAGUUUGCAACAUGUUUGUAGUUUACUACAUAGGAUCUUAUUAAACUCUAGUAUAACAUUUAGUCACAGGAUUAGUUCGCAGAGAUUUUAAUAAAAAAAGUAUUUUAACUUUUAUUUUGUUGUUUAUUG
Dalotia coriaria is the source of this 869-nucleotide long non-coding RNA. RefSeq lists it as uncharacterized. The record is from RefSeq and is a predicted model, not a curated record. NCBI's taxonomy places the organism in Eukaryota, Metazoa, Arthropoda, Insecta, Coleoptera, Staphylinidae. The transcript is spliced from 2 exons.